GGAGGGUAACCGAAUGGUGAGGAGGCUGACUCGAAAUCAGUUACCCCGCAAGGGGCUGUGGGUUCGAAUCCCAUGCCCUCCGC
This 83-nucleotide transfer RNA is filed under the name compost metagenome. RNAcentral describes it as "tRNA-Ser". It matches the Rfam family "tRNA". Rfam says of the family: Transfer RNA (tRNA) molecules are approximately 80 nucleotides in length. Their secondary structure includes four short double-helical elements and three loops (D, anti-codon, and T loops). Further hydrogen bonds mediate the characteristic L-shaped molecular structure. tRNAs have two regions of fundamental functional importance: the anti-codon, which is responsible for specific mRNA codon recognition, and the 3' end, to which the tRNAs corresponding amino acid is attached (by aminoacyl-tRNA synthetases). tRNAs cope with the degeneracy of the genetic code in two manners: having more than one tRNA (with a specific anti-codon) for a particular amino acid; and 'wobble' base-pairing, i.e. permitting non-standard base-pairing at the 3rd anti-codon position. The record is from RNAcentral.